Molecule: ribosomal RNA, 274 nt
Filed under: Clostridioides difficile
Lineage: Bacteria; Bacillati; Bacillota; Clostridia; Peptostreptococcales; Peptostreptococcaceae
Description: partial 23S ribosomal RNA
Rfam family: Bacterial large subunit ribosomal RNA
Source: RNAcentral
CAGGCGUAGGAAAUUUGAGAAGACCUGUCCUUAGUACGAGAGGACCGGGAUGGACGUACCUCUGGUGUACCAGUUGUCCUGCCAAGGGCAUGGCUGGGUAGCUAUGUACGGAAUGGAUAAGCGCUGAAAGCAUCUAAGCGCGAAGCCAACUUCAAGAUAAGAUUUCCCACCGCAAGGGUAAGACUCCAGAAAGACUAUCUGGUUGAUAGGUCGAAGGUGUAAGUGCAGCAAUGUAUUUAGCUUAUCGAUACUAAUAGGUCGAGGACUUGACCAA